Molecule: ribosomal RNA, 490 nt
Filed under: uncultured bacterium
Lineage: Bacteria
Description: partial 16S ribosomal RNA
Rfam family: Bacterial small subunit ribosomal RNA
Source: RNAcentral
GAUGAACGCUAGCUACAGGCUUAACACAUGCAAGUCGCGGGGCAGCAUGGGGGUUGCUUGCCAUCCCCGAUGGCGACCGGCGCACGGGUGAGUAACGCGUAUCCAACCUGCCCUUCACCACGGGAUAACCCGGCGAAAGUCGGACUAAUACCGUAUGUUGUCCAUUGACGGCAUCCGAUUUGGACGAAAGGCUUGGCGGUGAGGGAUGGGGAUGCGUCCGAUUAGCCAGACGGCGGGGUAACGGCCCACCGUGGCUACGAUCGGUAGGGGUUCUGAGAGGAAGGUCCCCCACACUGGAACUGAGACACGGUCCAGACUCCUACGGGAGGCAGCAGUGAGGAAUAUUGGUCAAUGGGCGUAAGCCUGAACCAGCCAAGUAGCGUGCAGGAUGACGGCCCUAUGGGUUGUAAACUGCUUUUAUGCGGGGAUAAAGUGGCCAACGUGUGGGCUUUUGCAGGUACCGCAUGAAUAAGGACCGGCUAAUUCCGUG